AAUGAACGCUGGCGGCAGGCCUAACACAUGCAAGUCGAACGGCAGCACGGACUUCGGUCUGGUGGCGAGUGGCGAACGGGUGAGUAAUGUAUCGGAACGUGCCCAGUCGUGGGGGAUAACGUAGUGAAAAUUACGCUAAUACCGCAUACGAUCUAUGGAUGAAAGCGGGGGAUCGCAAGACCUCGCGCGAUUGGAGAGGCUGAUAUCAGAUUAGGUAGUUGGUGGGGUAAAGGCCCACCAAGCCAACGAUCUGUAGCUGGUCUGAGAGGACGACCAGCCACACUGGAACUGAGACACGGUCCAGACUCCUACGGGAGGCAGCAGUGGGGAAUUUUGGACAAUGGGCGAAAGCCUGAUCCAGCCAUUCCGCGUGCAGGAUGAAGGCCCUCGGGUUGUAAACUGCUUUUGUACAGAACGAAAAGGUUUCUACUAAUACUAGGAGCUCAUGACGGUACUGUAAGAAUAAGCACCGGCUAACUGCGUGCCAGCAGCCGCCGUAA
RNAcentral lists this ribosomal RNA (500 nucleotides) under uncultured bacterium. RNAcentral's name for it is "partial 16S ribosomal RNA". It matches the Rfam family "Bacterial small subunit ribosomal RNA", at positions 29 to 523 of the family's 1533-position model. The record is from RNAcentral.